RNAcentral lists this non-coding RNA (109 nucleotides) under Roseburia sp. CAG:182. Its description in RNAcentral is "TPP riboswitch aptamer (THI element)". It matches the Rfam family "TPP riboswitch aptamer (THI element)". From Rfam's summary of the family: Vitamin B(1) in its active form thiamin pyrophosphate (TPP) is an essential coenzyme that is synthesised by coupling of pyrimidine and thiazole moieties in bacteria. The previously detected thiamin-regulatory element, thi box was extended, resulting in a new, highly conserved RNA secondary structure, the THI element, which is widely distributed in eubacteria and also occurs in some archaea. The record is from Rfam by way of RNAcentral. RNAcentral also lists the same sequence under 1 other name. Lineage: Bacteria; Bacillati; Bacillota; Clostridia; Lachnospirales; Lachnospiraceae.
GCAUACAAACAGGGGAGCCUGCGACAAGCCGGCUGAGAGUAAGCUGUACUGCUUAGACCCUUAACCUGAUUUAGAUAAUGCUAACGUAGGGAAAUAAUGACUGUAACGG